GGAUCUCUGGUUGGAGAUUCCUCUCAUGGGGAGUUUCCCUUGCAAGCCUACAUCUUCAGAGACAGGGCUUGAGGAGAACAACUUGCACAUUUAUGUCCAGGAUUUUUGGUCUAAUGUCUUUUUCUUUCUGCUAACUCAUUUAUUAUAUGUCUACUCACCACCCUGUGCAAGAGCUGAGCUGGGAGUCCACCAGGUAUUUUGCCAUCCCCAGCCAGACCAAACUUGAAGGAACGGAUAGAGGUCCUGCAGUCCACUGAUCACUGGGGAGGGAAUAUCAGUUUGUGUCCUGCUCAGGAAUUGUAUCUGCACUGAAAUAGAAGAGAAAACCUUAGAAACCUU
Gallus gallus (chicken) is the source of this 339-nucleotide long non-coding RNA. RefSeq lists it as uncharacterized. Lineage: Eukaryota; Metazoa; Chordata; Aves; Galliformes; Phasianidae. The transcript is spliced from 3 exons. The record is from RefSeq and is a predicted model, not a curated record.